This is a long non-coding RNA of Gambusia affinis (western mosquitofish), 969 nucleotides long. RefSeq lists it as uncharacterized. The record is from RefSeq and is a predicted model, not a curated record. NCBI's taxonomy places the organism in Eukaryota, Metazoa, Chordata, Actinopteri, Cyprinodontiformes, Poeciliidae. The transcript has 3 exons.
CUCACCUAGCCAGUCGCCAGAGUUCAUGCGUGGCACGAGCACGGCGCGUGGCCGCUCAUAUAAAACAGAAGGUCCAAAUUGAGACAAAAGUCUACUUAAAGAGGAUUUGUUACGCGGGAAGUCCGAGGAAAACAGUCUGAGUGUCCAAAACCUACAGGAACUCACCCAUGCUCUUCAGGGCCACUGGCACAGCUCCCUUCUGUUAAAGUGACUGUGUUUGAGCAGGAGCACUUCCAGGGCAAGUGUCUGGAGUUCAUGACUGCAGCAUGGACAACAUCCGCUCCAUCCGAGUGGAGAGUGAGUCACACAGCCUGUGCGCCUGUAGGUCUCAGUGAGGAGCUGAUUAUUGUGUCUAUAUGUGGUGUGUAUUCUGCAUUCACCAAAAAGAAGAGAAGUGAGUGAUGUGAAAUAUAUUCAACAUUAUCAGAGGAAAAAGGUAGUUUGUACAGUGACUCCCCAUUAAUUUGCAGUUUGUCACAUUACAACCUCAAACUUAAAUGUACUUUGUUAGUAUUUUAUGUGAUAUAAUUCUGAGAGAAAACCAGCAAUACCUUGCUGGUAGAAGCUAGAAAGGGAGCGUCAUUAUUCAAAGUAAAACGAGUCCUCUUCUGUCACAAGCCGAAAAGCUGAUCAAACAGGAAUUACUUCAAAAUAAAUAUAAAAACCCAGAUGCUUGUUUGCAAAUGCACUCAAAGUCAGCUAAUGAAACUAAAACUGAAGAGCUUGGCAGAAAGAUGGAGCUUACACGUGAGACAACUGUAUCCUAACUUUAGAGUAUAGAGUGGCAGUAUCGUGUUGUGUAGAUGUUUUGCUGAAGGAGGGACAAAAUAGAUGAUGUCAUAAAAAAGAACAUUAUGUUGUAAUACUGAAGUAUUUACAUGCUGGGUGGUUCACAAAAAAAUCUAAAUGUACAAACAAUGACAUUGUACUAUCUUGUAUUGUUACAUAAAUCCCUUCUACUAUUCUCAA